GACGAACGCUGGCGGCGUGCUUAACACAUGCAAGUCGAACGGAAAGGCCCUGCUUUUGUGGGGUGCUCGAGUGGCGAACGGGUGAGUAACACGUGAGUAACCUGCCCUUGACUUUGGGAUAACUUCAGGAAACUGGGGCUAAUACCGGAUAGGAGCUCCUGCUGCAUGGUGGGGGUUGGAAAGUUUCGGCGGUUGGGGAUGGACUCGCGGCUUAUCUGCUUGUUGGUGGGGUAGUGGCUUACCAAGGCUUUGACGGGUAGCCGGCCUGAGAAGGUGACCGGCCACAUUGGGACUAAGAGACGGCCCAGAAUCCUACGGGAGGCAGCAGUGGGGAAUAUUGCACAAUGGGCGGAAGCCUGAUGCAGCAACGCCGCGUGCGGGAUGACGGCCUUCGGGUUAUAAACCGCUUUCGCCUGUGACGAAGCGUGAGUGACGGUAAUGGGUAAAGAAGCACCGGCUAACUACGUG
RNAcentral lists this ribosomal RNA (468 nucleotides) under uncultured bacterium. RNAcentral's name for it is "partial 16S ribosomal RNA". It matches the Rfam family "Bacterial small subunit ribosomal RNA", at positions 28 to 507 of the family's 1533-position model. The record is from RNAcentral.